Molecule: unclassified non-coding RNA, 315 nt
Filed under: plant metagenome
Description: partial contains 5.8S ribosomal RNA, internal transcribed spacer 2, and large subunit ribosomal RNA
Rfam family: 5.8S ribosomal RNA (bases 1-104)
Source: RNAcentral
AAAUGCGAUAACUAGUGUGAAUUGCAGAAUUCCGUGAAUCAUCGAGUCUUUGAACGCACAUUGCGCCCCCUGGUAUUCCGGGGGGCAUGCCUGUCCGAGCGUCAUUGCUGCCCAUCAAGCACGGCUUGUGUGUUGGGUCGUCGUCCCCUCUCCGGGGGGGACGGGCCCCAAAGGCAGCGGCGGCACCGCGUCCGAUCCUCGAGCGUAUGGGGCUUUGUCACCCGCUCUGUAGGCCCGGCCGGCGCUUGCCGAACGCAAAUCAAUCUUUUUCCAGGUUGACCUCGUAUCAGGUAGGGAUACCCGCUGAACUUAAGC